ACGGAGGGUGCAAGCGUUACUCGGAAUUACUGGGCGUAAAGGAUGCGUAGGCGGGAAAUCAAGUCGAAUGUGAAAUCCAACGGCUCAACCGGUGAACUGCUUUCGAAACUGAUUACCUAGAAUAUGGGAGAGGUAGAUGGAAUUAGUGGUGUAGAGGUAAAAUCCGUAGAUAUCGGGAGGAAUACCGAUUGCGAAGGCGAUCAACUGGAACAUAAUUGACGCUGAGGCGCGAAAGCGUGGGGAGCAAACAG
RNAcentral lists this ribosomal RNA (251 nucleotides) under uncultured prokaryote. RNAcentral describes it as "partial 16S rRNA". It matches the Rfam family "Bacterial small subunit ribosomal RNA", at positions 525 to 775 of the family's 1533-position model. The record is from RNAcentral.